GAUGAACGCUAGCGGCAGGCCUAACACAUGCAAGUCGAGGGGUAACAGGGGAGCUUGCUCCCGCUGACGACCGGCGCACGGGUGCGGAACGCGUAUGGAACCUACCUCAAUCAGGGGGGAUAGCCCAGGGAAACUUGGAUUAAUACCCCAUAGUAUUGUUUUAUUGCAUGAUAAAACAAUUAAAACUUCGGUGGAUUGAGAUGGCCAUGCGUAUCAUUAGCUAGUUGGUAAGGUAACGGCUUACCAAGGCAACGAUGAUUAGGGGCCCUGAGAGGGGGAUCCCCCACACUGGUACUGAGACACGGACCAGACUCCUACGGGAGGCAGCAGUGAGGAAUAUUGGACAAUGGUCGGAAGACUGAUCCAGCCAUGCCGCGUGCAGGAUGACUGCCCUAUGGGUUGUAAA
This 406-nucleotide ribosomal RNA is filed under the name uncultured bacterium. Its description in RNAcentral is "bacterial SSU rRNA". It matches the Rfam family "Bacterial small subunit ribosomal RNA", at positions 28 to 429 of the family's 1533-position model. The record is from RNAcentral.